UGAGGAAUAUUGCACAAUGGGCGAAAGCCUGAUGCAGCGACGCCGCGUGGGUGAUGAAGGUUUUCGGAUCGUAAAACCCUUUUCUGGGUGACGAGGAAGGACGGUAGCACAGGAAUAAGUGUCGGCUAACUACGUGCCAGCAGCCGCGGUAAUACGUAGGACGCAAGCGUUAUCCGGAAUUACUGGGCGUAAAGAGCGUGUAGGCGGU
RNAcentral lists this ribosomal RNA (208 nucleotides) under uncultured Anaerolineae bacterium. Its description in RNAcentral is "partial 16S ribosomal RNA". It matches the Rfam family "Bacterial small subunit ribosomal RNA", at positions 355 to 579 of the family's 1533-position model. The record is from RNAcentral. Lineage: Bacteria; Bacillati; Chloroflexota; Anaerolineae.